RNAcentral lists this long non-coding RNA (1889 nucleotides) under Physcomitrium patens. RNAcentral describes it as "long non-coding RNA (PPAT_LNC007894)". Lineage: Eukaryota; Viridiplantae; Streptophyta; Bryopsida; Funariales; Funariaceae. The record is from RNAcentral.
GCUAAAAUCUAAAUGAUAUCCAUUUUGUACUAAGAUUAUUAUAUUAUGAAUCAUAUUCAUUUUGACAAAUAGUAGUGUUCUGUAAAUUUCAACAAAAACUCAACAAAUUAUUUUGUUGAAUAACUCUUAAUUGUGUUCUUUCUUGUUUUUUUAGAAUGUGUUUUUUCAUAGUACUCUAAGAUAUUAUAUUAUAGGGUUAUAUUCAAUGAAUUUUUAAUACAAUUUUUUUUUAAUAUAGUCAUAAUUUCAAAUAUUAUAUUCUAUCAUUUUUUACUUGUUAUGUUGAUUUGGCACAAGAAUAUAAUUAUUUUAAAAAAUAAACCCGGAAAUAAUUUCUCAAAAUCAUUAUAUUACAAGUUGUACAUUUAAAAGUUUAUUUUAUUAGUUAAUUCUGCAUAAGGCUAAAUAUAGUAAAAAUAUAAGUAUAACCUUAUACUUUGCAAAAUAACUUUACACAAAAGUUCUAAAUGCUAACUAAUUAAAUUAUUAUAUGAUUGUAAUCAUAAAUCAUUUUAAUUAAUUGAACAAAAAAUAUGUUCCUUCCAACCCUUUGUUUGUAUGUAUAUACAAAAACAUAUUGAAAUAAACUUCAUUUCCUGCUUGAAUCUGAUUUCUAUAGAACCUAGUAACAUACUUGUUUAGUGUCUACAACCCUAAAAUGUUAAUCAAUUCUACAUUAUGUAAAGCUCUGGCUCUAUUCUACAAUAGCUUCAUUCAACACAUCAAUUUGUUUUGUUCCAUUUAUAUAUAUAUAUGUAUUUUGGAUCUUGUGACGACUUUGACUUGAUAUACAAACUUGAAAAGCCGUGUGAGAGAACCGAUAAAAGAAGACUUUAAAUCGCGGAAAGCUGAAAACACAACUUGAGGUACCAACCGCAAUUGUGGUUCUUCUUUUGACCAGCAACAUUGGCGGACUUACUAUCAGAGUGUUAAUUUUACUAUCAGAAUGUUUAAAUCAGAAUGUUUGUGCUACAAUCGCAAGCUUCAGAAUAUUGUAUAACUCCUCUCUCGUGAAAGGAUGAAUAUAACUAACACUACAAUAUUAUCUUGUGAGCAGCAUCAAUCCAGACAGAGAUGGAUUACAUGCAAAAAAAUUGAACAGGGCCACUCAAGAUUUCCCCAAUCUCACACAGUCUUUACAAUCCCGAGCUGCAAAGGGCACCUGAAUCCAUGAAUCCGUUACAGAACUUGACAAUCCAGUGGACACAUCCCAAAUGCGCAUCUCCCCAACCCGCAAAAUCACUAGAAAAUCACUUCAAUAAAUUCUAAAGGGACUCAUACUGGGUAAGAUACAGAAAAUAGACCCUACAAAAUUUUCGUAAGUCUGGCGGAUUAAAUUAUCUCAACAACAGCGAUCCUCGACAAUCAAGUUGCAAGAUUAAUGUUCAUCUUCUAAGACAUAUCUCCAUGAGAAAUCAUGACAUUGAAAAAAGUGAUUCUUCUGCGCAAGUUUUAACUCAAAUUGAGCCCUGCGCUUUUCCUUUCCCAUUUUACAAUUCACAAUCAUAGGCAAGCAAGUGACCAUUUGAGAGACGAACCGUGAGCAAAAUUAGGGCAACACUAACCUGGAGUUCCAUCUUAACAUGGCGUGACAUCCUUAUCAGCGCCACAGCAAUUGAGCAAUCCAUGAACCUUCCAAAACCCUUCCUUUACGACGCACUCUAUUUCUUAACCCACAAACUUGCUCAAAAGAAGCAUGGAGUUUUCUUUUUGUGCCAACCCCAGCAAACAAAAUUGCUCUCAGAUUACAAUUUUGAGGGCAUAGACACAAAACAAUGUUACAUGCUCUGUCUGCACUUCUGUUUCUAUUGUAUGUGUGAAACUUACACAACUUGCAGCAUCAGCUGUAUCUUGCUCCAGUUGAAAACGAACCUCUGUAUCAACAACAC